CCUACGGGAGGCAGCAGUGGGGAAUAUUGGGCAAUGGGCGCAAGCCUGACCCAGCAACGCCGCGUGAAGGAAGAAGGCCCUCGGGUUGUAAACUUCUUUUAUCAGGGACGAAGCAAGUGACGGUACCUGAUGAAUAAGCCACCGCUAACUACUUGCCAGCAGCCGCGGUAAUACGUAGGUGGCAAGCGUUAUCCGGAUUUACUGGGUGUAAAGGGCGUGUAGGCGGGAAAGCAAGUCAGAUGUGAAAACCAUGGGCUCAACCUGUGGCCUGCAUUUGAAACUGUUUUUCUUGAGUACUGGAGAGGCAGACGGAAUUCCUGGUGUAGCGGUGAAAUGCGCAGAGAUAAGGAGGAACACCAGUGGCGAAGGCGGUCUGCUGGACAGCAACUGACGCUGAGGCGCGAAAGCGUGGGGAGCAAACAGGAUUAGAUACCCGGGUAGUC
This 443-nucleotide ribosomal RNA is filed under the name uncultured bacterium. RNAcentral describes it as "partial 16S ribosomal RNA". It matches the Rfam family "Bacterial small subunit ribosomal RNA", at positions 338 to 795 of the family's 1533-position model. The record is from RNAcentral.